UGAUGACAAAGAUGUCUUCUUACUCAUUUG
Molecule: non-coding RNA, 30 nt
Filed under: Rattus norvegicus (Norway rat)
Lineage: Eukaryota; Metazoa; Chordata; Mammalia; Rodentia; Muridae
Source: RNAcentral